Molecule: ribosomal RNA, 484 nt
Filed under: uncultured bacterium
Lineage: Bacteria
Description: partial 16S ribosomal RNA
Rfam family: Bacterial small subunit ribosomal RNA
Source: RNAcentral
AUUGAACGCUGGCGGCAUGCUUUACACAUGCAAGUCGAACGGCAGCGCGGGCUUCGGCCUGGCGGCGAGUGGCGAACGGGUGAGUAAUGCAUCUGAACGUGCCCAGUAGUGGGGGAUAGCCCGGCGAAAGCCGGAUUAAUACCGCAUACGACCUGAGGGUGAAAGCGGGGGACCGAAAGGCCUCGCGCUAUUGGAGCGGCCGAUGUCGGAUUAGCUAGUUGGUGGGGUAAAGGCUUACCAAGGCGACGAUCCGUAGCUGGUCUGAGAGGACGACCAGCCACACUGGGACUGAGACAGGGCCCAGACUCCUACGGGAGGCAGCAGUGGGGAAUUUUGGACAAUGGGGGCAACCCUGAUCCAGCCAUGCCGCGUGCGGGAAGAAGGCCUUCGGGUUGUAAACCGCUUUUGUUCGGGAAGAAAUCCUCUGGGCUAAUACCCCGGGGGGAUGACGGUACCGGAAGAAUAAGCACCGGCUAACUACGUG